GAGUCAGGCCUCUGAGGUCUCAAUGCCAGUUUAAGGUUUUCAAACAACAACUUCCUUUCUUCCCUGAGAAAAACUGCUUGGGCAAGCUUCCCCAGUGUGCAUUUUUGUCUGACAAGAAAGCAUUUUGUCCUCUGUCAAUGGAAAUGCCAAGAACAAAGCAAGAGGGGCGUUGCCGGGAGGCAGUCAAGCAGCUCCCCUGACCCAGGCGCUGGAGGCCCGGGCCCCCGGGUCUCAGAUGCGCCCAGAAGGACUCUCCCUGGGGCCUGGGCAGGCGGCAGGACAGGAAACGUCAGUGAUCGCAUGGACGCCUCGGCUCUGGAUUAGAGAACCCUCCAGACAGCCUGAAAGCCUUGGCACCUAAAAAUGGAGACCACUGAAAGAGAGGGGACAGAGAGCUGGGAGAGGAGGGUCCCUCAGCCCCUCCUUUCUCUCCAUCACCCCCUCACACGGCAUCCUGUGUCCUCAUACAUCAGAAGGUGAUCGCCUAAAUUGCAUCAUGUGAUCAUGUGUUAGUUACUCUCUCAGGAAUAUUAAUUAUGUCCAGGCCACCAGGGGAGCACAAUGCUUAACCCUUACAAGUGAAUUCCUCUUUCCAGGCUCAGCAGGAAAAGGACUGGGGGGGAGGGGGUACUUCAAACCAGACCGCAAGGUGACACAGCACUCACUUGCAGUUUGUUCUCUGUAUACAGAGUCAUUGUACUUAUCACUGUGACAUAGUCGUUUACAUGUCUUUCACAUCUACUAGAUUGUCAGCAGCUUGGUUAAUGCAGAUACUACUGUGCUGUUCAUCUUUGCAUCCCCAGGGCCUGGCAUGCACCUGGCGUACUCCACCCAUCUGCCCAACGAAGGCUGGCCCUAGGGGGGCCUGCAAAGGGCUAGGGUGGCAUCAUUCCAACUGCUCCUCUGUGCUUGGCAUAUAGUAGCUGCCCAACAAAUAUUUGGUGCAUAAAGGAAAGCAAAAUACUUGCCUGCCUGCGAGGAAGGUCUUAGGACAAUGCUUACAGGAGACUCUGCCUGCACGGCCCUCAACUGAUCAAGGCCAGUGAAAGAGCCCUGUGGCACUGCUAUGGACUUCCCCUCAGGACGAUGAGAGUCAUGGUGGGUCAGAACGUUCCCUGCAGUUCAGGGAAUAAAGAACUACCUUGGGAGGCUCCUCUGCAGCCUCUGGGGUGGAAGGCAUCCCGCUCACAAGCAGUUCUGACAUUUGGCACGUGCUGAUGGAGCACUGACUGUGAGCCAGACCCUGGGGACAGAGCAGACACGGGUAACGUCCCUGCCUUCAUGAAGCUUAUAUCGACUCUCAGGGAGGCAGACAAUGCAAAUAAAUAUGUAACAUGCCUCAUGAUAGUGGGGGCAAUGAAGACAACAAAGCAGGGUGAAGGGGUAGAGCCGGGGUGCUGUUUUGUGUAGAGUUCAAGGAGGACCUCGGAGGUAGGUAACAUUUGAUCUAAGGCCUGAAUUCAGUUGUUCAUUUGUGUAGCAGUCCACACGUCUGGCCGCCCUCUCUGCUUCCUGCUGUUUCUCCAGCAGGCCAAACCCCUCCCACCUCAGGGUUGUUUCCACUGCCUGCGAUUCUCCUUCACCUCUUCAAGUUUUUGCUUAAAUGUCGCCUUCCCAAUGAGGUCCGGCCUGACCGCCCUGCUUAAAACACCCUCCCCAUCCCGUUAUACUCUGCUCUGUGUUCCCUGUAACACUUAUCACCCUCUAAUGUAGCACCCAAUGCACUCAUUUGUUAGGUGUGCUGCCCUUGCCCUUCUCCCCUCCCUAGAAUGGAAGCCUGACUGGUGCGGGAAUUCUCACCGCUUCGGUUCACUAAUCCAUCCCAAGUGCCUGGAGUGACGGCACAGGGCCAGCGCCUGGCAAGUGCUUCAGACAUCCACUGUUCCUUCAACCUGAUGUGCCUGCCCUGCACCAGGUGUUGCCCUGCGGUGGCAAGAAGCCUCCUUGUGACGGUGGAGGGGGGUGUGGAAUGCUGCCCCUACUUCCCUCUGUGCUGUUUUGGGCUAACUCUGGGGGGAGGUGGCAUGAUUGGCUUUGGAGUCCCUGGGCUCCACUUCCCGACCACCUCAGCUUCUGCCCUCUCUCUUCCAAAGAGCACAGGGCGAGGACCUGUCUCAGAUCAGGAAGCUGGAGGGGGACCCAGAGAGCAUAGGCAUGGCCAGAGACAGGGCACGGAGUCCGAGGAGGGCUGGGAGUCCGGGCGAGGGACUUGGCCUGUCAGGGUGGGUCGGAGUUGAGGCGAGAAGCACAGGGCCACGUGGAGAGGCCAAGGGAGGAGAAACCCCUUCUUUAUUGCCUCCCUCAGGGAUUCUGUAAGGAGCCUUGCGACAACAUUCCAGUUCCACUGUGCAAGGCUCCUGGUACUCUCAGUGGGGUGUCUGGGAGAAUUAAGGCCUGAAUGCCUAAUGACAGACACAGGAGCAGAGAACUAGUGGGUAUGUGUGGGGGUGGGGUGAGGAAGAGCCAAUGCCUUCUCUCUUUAGAAUUAUUUGUGGCCAAUUGCAGAUUUCCAUCUUCAGAGCCCGUAUCUUCUGUGAACUCGGCCACCCCUCCCCACACCACCACUGUUGCCACUGUUCCUGAGUCUCUGGCCAAGGGACUGACCCCUCUGUUUUCCCAAGCAGGGAUUUUCAGAUUCCCUUCCCUCAAGCUUAGCACCGAUGCCUGCUGGGCCAUGGUGCCCUCCUUACUGUGACCACUCCAGGCUGACAGUCACUUUCCCUAGGCUCGGUCGCUUGAUGGCCAACAAGUGUUCCCUGAGGCUGGUUAGAGUUAAGUCCAGAGCAGUGAAUUUCUCCCUUGCUUCCUCCACUUCUGAGCUAUGAAAUUACCCAUUAAGCAAAUCAAUAAUUCAUCAGGUUAUCCACAUUUAGUCUAAAUUGGAUCUCAUCGCCUCAGGCUAGACUUUGAAGUCCUGCUUCACCUGACUCUACUACCCAGCCAGCCGCCCCAUGGAGUCCAGCCAGCUUCCUAGGGCUGGGCCCCUUCUCCUCACUACUCGGUCCCCACACCGCUACCCCCAGCCAACCAAGAAUAGCCCAAUCUGAUCCCCUCUCCAGAAGCCCAUCCUUCCCUCUUUGCCGUAAUCCAGCUCUUCAAGGUCUCGUCUUAAUUCCAGCCCUUACCAUGAACUUCCUGGGGCUUCUGCAGCAGACGGAAAUAUUUUAUAAUUAGGAGUACACAACUUUGCACUCCAUUUGUUUCACACUUGCAAACCCAUAGUUGUUAAGCAACAUGGGGAUGGGACACUGUAACAGACCCCUCACAUCCCCUCACCACGCCACAGAACACGCAAUGAAUGCUGUUGUACAGGUGCUGUACCACCUCCUUUCUACCCUCCUCGCCAGCACUAUCUCUCUCUCUUAAUCCAAACUACCUUUAGCACCGCAACCCUCGGUCCCACGUUCCCUUCAGUCCUCAGGGACUAGACAACCCUGGGUACAUGGUCAGACUUUGGAUCGUAGAGAAUCAAGCUGGCUGCAAGCCUACUGAAAAGAUUAGAAAUGGGGCUAGAGUGGAUACAGGCCAGUCAGUAGGGCCAUUGCAGCAGGCUGGAUGAGAGACGGUGGGAGUAAGUUCAAGGAGUCACUGAUAGAGAUGGAGACAAGUGGAUGGAUUCAGGAGAUCAUCUGAAGCACUUUUGCAUCUACUACAUCCUUUGAGAUUCAUCUCCCUCAACAAGCCGUGACAGGUAAUAGUAGUACAUGUAAUUUGGAUCUCAGCCUAGGUGAUGAAACCAAGGUGAGGAGGGAUGGAGUGGAUUGCCUGGAUUCACACAGCUGGUCAGGGUGGGCCUGGGACCCACACCCAGAUCCUUGGGCAUCACAUCCAGGACUCUCUGGUCUCACCCCGGAGACUAACACUGGAGCGCCAUGGGAGGGCCGGGUGUUAAGCUGAAGAACCCUGACAGGGCUACCUGCCUGCAGCUAUUCACUAUUCACCAAUUGAUUUGUAGUAACCUGUAAUUAUUUCUGCUGAAUUUUUUUGCAUGUUCCAUUUGUUUUUUACUCUCCAGCAGACAAGCUACAGGAAGAAGCAGCUUGGGACAUAAGUGGGAGCGGAAGAGCCUGUCUGGUUCUGGGAUAGAAGGUUAGGGGAGUCCAGAUGCCAGCCUUCUGUCUUGCUCCCCUCGGCUCCCUCUGCCCUUUCCUCAGUCUCUCUUCCUCCCCACAGAUGGGGGGCUGGGUACUCCUGAGCCAGAUCGCUCUUCUCAGUGUCUCUCAGGUCUGUCUCUGCCAGAGGGAAAGAAUCUCUCCAGCGUCCCUAACUCCCUUUCUGCCAUGUAACAACUUGCCAUUGGCACGUCUCUCAAGACACAGACUUUUGGAAGGAAAAAGAAGGAAAGAAACUGCAAGGAUGGAUUGUUAAUUUUCUAAAUGAAAUAUGACUGUGAGAUUCUACCUAGCUAGCUGGAGGGACAUUCCACUCUGCUUCCCCUCUGUAAGGUGGUCUGAAUGUUCAGGAUACUUACUCAAUUUGGGAAGCUUGGGGAAAGUCUUCUGCCCAUAGUCCGAACCUGUAGGGUCCCUUCAAGGGAGUGAGGGCUGCCCCUAGGGGCUAGUCUCUCCGUGCCAACUUGGCCAUAGUCCUCCAGACCCUAUAAGAGGUUCAGCUGUGUCCUGGGUCGCUGUGUGGGUGUGGGGGGCAGGUCUCCCCCACGCACAGAGCCUGCCACUCCCUCACUCCUCCUCACUCUCCCUUGGGGUUCAAGCCACUCCCACCAGCUCCAGUCCAAGCAGCAGCCUCCUGUGGAGCCAACUCUUUCCAGCCACAGCUUUGGGACUUCUCUGGUGGCACAGUGGUUAAGAAUCUGCCUGCCAAUGCAGGG
Molecule: non-coding RNA, 4828 nt
Organism: Delphinapterus leucas (beluga whale)
Lineage: Eukaryota; Metazoa; Chordata; Mammalia; Artiodactyla; Monodontidae
Source: RefSeq, a predicted model, not a curated record